UUGACCUCGGAUCACGUAGGAAUACCCGCUGAACUUAAGCAUAUCAAUAAGCGGAGGAAAAGAAACCAACAGGGAUUGCCUUAGUAACGGCGAGUGAAGCGGC
This 103-nucleotide ribosomal RNA is filed under the name Cyphellophora eucalypti. Its description in RNAcentral is "partial 28S ribosomal RNA". It matches the Rfam family "Eukaryotic large subunit ribosomal RNA", at positions 1 to 102 of the family's 3401-position model. Lineage: Eukaryota; Fungi; Ascomycota; Eurotiomycetes; Chaetothyriales; Cyphellophoraceae. The record is from RNAcentral.